AAAAAUAAGUCACUAUAAAGAGGUCAAGAGAGAGAAAUCAAUUUUACCAAUGUUUAACUCUUGGCAAUGAGAUUUGAUCAAGAAACAAAUGCUAUGGAUCAAGGUAUGUUUUCUCUAAAUUAUGAUGAUGUGAAAAUCAUGAUAUUCUAUAAUCUUAGGGAUUAAAAUUUAUUCAAAUUAGGGUUUAUUUGCUUUAUGGGAAUUGAAAAACGAAAACGAAUGAUCAUAAAACAAAAAUGGAGAAAUAUUAUUUCAUUGUUGAAAAGUUAAAAUCAUCAACUGUGAAAUAAAAAUGGUAUUUAUUAUAUUUUUAAAAAUACAUGAACUAAUUCGGAAAAUUAUCCAUUUGUGUGAUUUGAACCUUGCAAAUUAAUUUGUGGGUGGCAUUUAGUUCAAAUGAUAAAAUCUCUUAUGUGAAAACAAGAUGUCUUGUACAAGAAAAUCAACACCCAAUCACCCAAAAUACUACAUUAAAAUUAUUUGGUGAUUACAUUGAUUUUAUGGUUUGAAUAAGAUAACGAGAGUUAUUAAUUUUUUAAAAAAUAUAGUUUAAAUUAUGUUUAAUAUUCCGGUCUAGCCUCUAUUAAAUAAAGAGGUGAGAAGGCGGCUUUCUAUUGAUAUAUGAAUAUGCAAUUUACUUGAGAUCUUUUAUAUUAAUUGUUUUUUUUUUUUUUGUUGUGAUGGGAGUUUAUAAAUUCUAUAUAUAGUGUUUUUAGUAACUGUGACUACGACUUGUUUUUCUCUCUUUGGGUAAUCGUACUUAUCAAUGAGAUUGUUCAGCUUUGUUUUGCAAUCUUUGUCAAAUUUUUUAUUUGUCAAAAAGUCUAAUUAAUUAAAUAUUGAACUUUGAAUAGCCUUCUCGGUUUUUGGUAGGAAGAAUAAGGAGCUUAAAGGAUAAUAGGCACAAUUUGUUAGGGAUAUAUCUUUUUUAUAUUAAUUUUGACUCUGAGUAAUUACUGGCUCAACUUAUCCAUGAACUUAUAUAUAUUAUCAGAACCAACAGACUUAGCACGUGAUGAAGAUGUUAAAUAGGUGGGGCUAUAAGCCUUUCCUAACGAAAACUAAAUUUUAAUUGAUGCAUAGUCAAUCGAGAUGGGCAUUGAGGAGAUGAGGCUGCGGGCGUGAGGAUGAAAUCUCAAAAAAUUGAAGUUGGUAUUUGAAAUUGUUUUGUAAAAUGUGAAAUAUCAAUGCAACUGGUUUUGCUUUCACUGUCAGCACUCAAAUCGUAUUAAUUUCUUCAUGUUGGUUAAGAUUACUGGUUUUGAGUAGAUUAUAGUUUCUUCCAUUCUCUGUUCUUAUGCCAUCACGUAUUAAGUGGAGCACUUUGAAACACUACGUGGUGAAGGAUUUGGUGCAAAUCCAUACAGGAUGUUGGGAAUAAAUCUG
This 1386-nucleotide long non-coding RNA is filed under the name Citrus maxima (pomelo). RNAcentral describes it as "long non-coding RNA (CMAX_LNC001822)". The record is from RNAcentral. Lineage: Eukaryota; Viridiplantae; Streptophyta; Magnoliopsida; Sapindales; Rutaceae.